RNAcentral lists this small nuclear RNA (107 nucleotides) under Peromyscus maniculatus bairdii (prairie deer mouse). The record is from RNAcentral. Lineage: Eukaryota; Metazoa; Chordata; Mammalia; Rodentia; Cricetidae.
GUGCUCACUUCGGCAGCACAGAUACUAAAACUGGAACGACGCAGAGAAGAUUACCAUGGCCCCUGCGCAAGGAUAACAUGCAAAUUGGUGAAGCGUUUUUAAAAAAA